Long non-coding RNA from Lucilia sericata (common green bottle fly), 400 nucleotides. RefSeq lists it as uncharacterized. The record is from RefSeq and is a predicted model, not a curated record. The transcript is spliced from 3 exons. Lineage: Eukaryota; Metazoa; Arthropoda; Insecta; Diptera; Calliphoridae.
CAGGUAUCUGUGUGUGACGCGCAUUUUUUUGCGGCUUGGUUUAUGAAAAAAAUUUAUUUCUAUUUGUGGAAAAAAAGAGUAUAAAAUAUAUAUUUUCAAUAAAAAUCACAUUACAAACAAUAUAUAAAAUCCUAACAGGAUAUAUUGUGAAAUAUAUUGUAUUCUGGAUGUUCAAAGGGGACAAACACUAUAAGCUAUAAAUCUUCUAACCAGAACGUGCUUUUUGUAUUACAAAUUUAUAUUUUAUAGAAAUAUUGCAAUUUAUCCUCAUUUAAAACUCGCCUAUAUUUUGUGCGUCGUGAAAGAAAAGUUAUUCUGAUUUUCUGCUUUUGAGGAGGUUCGAAAGGUAUUCGCAAGCGAUGUAAUACAAACUCGGAAAAGGCUCUAAACAUACCACUAC